CAUGAAAUUUAACUUCUGGCCAUCCGUCACUCAGUGUGACACAAUAUACCAUGCUGCCCCUCCCAAACCAGUGGCUAUGUUCUUGCUCUCACUUUCAUAGUCAAGGGUAGGGACUGUGGCGUGUGAGGUGUAAACUACCGGGGAACUCCCAGUGUGGCUCUGAACCCAGAUGUGGGGAGGGUUGGAAACACACUGGUCACGCCCUGAUCUAAAGCAGGUGUCCGUGAUACGAGAAAGCGGUUACUGUCAGGGCUGCAGGUGCCGAGACUGUAAAUAGAGGGUUUGUGCGAGUGUGUUCUGUUCAGUGUUAUGAACCAACUGUCAACAAGGUGUCAGCCCCACCGGGCACCUUGAAGAUGUCCCCCACCCCUCCACCUUCCACAGCAGGAGAUGAGAGCCAUGCCUGUCUCAUUACCGGUGGGGUGGGAGAUGGCAUCAUCUCCCAGGCCUGCAGAUGAAGCCAGUUGGCGCCAGUGUCUCCUGUAUGGCUGGCUGGGAAAUUAAUCUCCCCGUCACCAUCACCCACAGAGGAGGUUCUGCUUUAAAUUAUGGGAGCAACUCUCGCAUUUUCCCAAUGCAGGGUUAUUUUAUCAAGAAGAUAAAUUUGACUGCAGAGCAACAACAUGACAGCCCCCUUCAAACCUCUGCCUCCCUGUCCCCUUCACCAGCUGCGGCAAGGACAGAGGAAGAAGUCAGCUUUGUCUCAGCCCCUGACUUCUUGUCCAGGCAACUUCUCCAAAGGUGCCCGUGAUCAAAUCAACGCCACCUCCCCAUGUACACAAUACCCGAUCUGUCGCCACCAGUCCCUCAGAGCCGGCAGGAAUGGCAGCUGUUUCCUGAGUACCUCCUGUGUGGCUCCACCAGAUCAUCUCCUUUCAUUCAAUGAUGGGAUUCCCAGGCAAGAGACUCGUAGUGGAAGCCACACCACUGCCAUGCUUCUAUACCUCCAAAACCAGGAACCAAAAUAAAUGUCUUUUAUUUAUAAACUAA
Long non-coding RNA from Mesocricetus auratus (golden hamster), 990 nucleotides. RefSeq lists it as uncharacterized. The transcript has 2 exons. The record is from RefSeq and is a predicted model, not a curated record. NCBI's taxonomy places the organism in Eukaryota, Metazoa, Chordata, Mammalia, Rodentia, Cricetidae.